GGGUGUGAGGCCGAUCUGGCUGUGACAUCUUUCACCCCAUUAUUGGCCAGGGUUGAUUUGGUUCAUCUGGCUGGUAGGCAGGUGUCACCUUCCUCCCUCACUGCUCCAGGCGCAUCCAUCCCAAAGCUACACAGUUGGUCAAAUAGGGCGACCUUCCCGGAAUAGAGACGGGUGGGUCUUCAGUCAAGGCCAUAGAGUUUUGGGUGGAGGAUAUACAAGGUGCAGCACUUCCCUGCUAGAACCUCCAAACAACCUCUCACAUGAAAGAUGAGGGCCUCUGGCCUCACCGUUACACACACACACACUCACAUGCACGCGUGCCUGGCACU
This 329-nucleotide small nuclear RNA is filed under the name Erinaceus europaeus (western European hedgehog). RNAcentral's name for it is "7SK RNA". It matches the Rfam family "7SK RNA". Rfam says of the family: 7SK was discovered as an abundant small nuclear RNA in the mid-70s but a possible function has only recently been suggested. Two independent studies have found that 7SK RNA binds the CDK9/cyclin T complex (known as elongation factor P-TEFb). Lineage: Eukaryota; Metazoa; Chordata; Mammalia; Eulipotyphla; Erinaceidae. The record is from Rfam by way of RNAcentral.